This 253-nucleotide ribosomal RNA is filed under the name uncultured bacterium. Its description in RNAcentral is "partial 16S ribosomal RNA". It matches the Rfam family "Bacterial small subunit ribosomal RNA", at positions 524 to 776 of the family's 1533-position model. RNAcentral also lists the same sequence under 1 other name. The record is from RNAcentral.
UACAGAGGUCUCAAGCGUUGUUCGGAAUCACUGGGCGUAAAGGGUGCGUAGGCUGCACGGUAAGUCAGAGGUGAAAUCCCGGAGCUCAACUUCGGAAUUGCCUCCGAUACUGCCGUGCUUGAGGACUGGAGAGGAGAUUGGAAUUCACAGUGGAGCAGUGAAAUGCGUAGAUAUUGUGAGGAACACUAGUGGCGAAGGCGAAUCUCUGGACAGUUCCUGACGCUGAGGCACGAAGGCCAGGGGAGCAAACGGG